This 200-nucleotide long non-coding RNA is filed under the name Vitis vinifera (wine grape). RNAcentral describes it as "long non-coding RNA (VVIN_LNC003796)". Lineage: Eukaryota; Viridiplantae; Streptophyta; Magnoliopsida; Vitales; Vitaceae. The record is from RNAcentral.
UGACUCCCAAGAAACACAAGCAAUCCAUGAGGAAUAGUUGACCAAGACUAGUGAUUCGGAAGUAAGGGGAUACACACGUGCCCCGCAAACACAAGCAGCAAGCAGUCAUGCAAGGAAAUGAGCAGUCAUAUAGCAAAUAGUCAUGCACAAAGAGAUAGCCUACCACACAUCUACACACAAUCUAAUCAUCUAAGUCUAAU